CCCGCUGAACUUAAGCAUAUCAAUAAGCGGAGGAAAAGAAACUAACAAGGAUUCCCCUAGUAACUGCGAGUGAAGCGGGAAAAGCUCAAAUUUAAAAUCUGGCGGUCUCGCGGCCGUCCGAGUUGUAAUCUGGAGAAGCGUCUAUCCGCGUCGGACCGUGUACAAGUCUUCUGGAAGGGAGCGUCGUAGAGGGUGAGAAUCCCGUCUUUGACACGGACAACCGAUGCUUUUGUGAUGCGCUCUCGAAGAGUCGAGUUGUUUGGGAAUGCAGCUCAAAAUGGGUGGUAAAUUCCAUCUAAAGCUAAAUAUUGGCGAGAGACCGAUAGCGAACAAGUACCGUGAGGGAAAGAUGAAAAGCACUUUGGGAAGAGAGUUAAACAGUACGUGAAAUUGUUGAAAGGGAAACGUUUGAAGUCAGUCGCGUCGGCCGAGACUCAACCUUGCGCUCGCGCUCGGUGCACUUCUCGGUUGACGGGUCAGCAUCAAUUUCGACCGCCGGACAAAGGUUGGGGGAAUGUGGCAUCCUUCGGGAUGUGUUAUAGCCCUCGAUUCACAUACGGCGAUUGGGAUUGAGGAACUCAGCAUGCACCUUCGGGUGUCGGGGCUUUUGUCCACGAUACAUGCUUAGGAUGUUGGCGUAAUGGCUUUAAACGACCCGUCUUGAAACACGG
Molecule: ribosomal RNA, 671 nt
Filed under: uncultured fungus
Lineage: Eukaryota; Fungi
Description: eukaryotic LSU rRNA
Rfam family: Eukaryotic large subunit ribosomal RNA
Source: RNAcentral